UGGGGAUUGGCCAAGUGGUAAGGCAUCGCCCUCUGGAGGCGAGAUCGGGGGUUCGAAUCCCUCAUCCCCAGCCA
RNAcentral lists this transfer RNA (74 nucleotides) under Candidatus Peregrinibacteria bacterium. RNAcentral's name for it is "tRNA-Gln". It matches the Rfam family "tRNA". From Rfam's summary of the family: Transfer RNA (tRNA) molecules are approximately 80 nucleotides in length. Their secondary structure includes four short double-helical elements and three loops (D, anti-codon, and T loops). Lineage: Bacteria; Candidatus Peregrinibacteriota. The record is from RNAcentral.